RNAcentral lists this ribosomal RNA (480 nucleotides) under uncultured bacterium. RNAcentral describes it as "bacterial SSU rRNA". It matches the Rfam family "Bacterial small subunit ribosomal RNA", at positions 28 to 507 of the family's 1533-position model. The record is from RNAcentral.
GAUGAACGCUAGCGGCAGGCUUAACACAUGCAAGUCGAGGGGUAGAAGCAGCUUGCUGCUUUGAGACCGGCGCACGGGUGCGUAACGCGUAUGCAAUCUACCUUUUACAGAGGGAUAGCCCAGAGAAAUUUGGAUUAAUACCUCAUAGUAUGUGAGAAUCGCAUGGUUUUCACAUUAAAGUUCCAACGGUAAAAGAUGAGCAUGCGUCCCAUUAGCUAGAUGGUAAGGUAACGGCUUACCAUGGCGACGAUGGGUAGGGGUCCUGAGAGGGAGAUCCCCCACACUGGUACUGAGACACGGACCAGACUCCUACGGGAGGCAGCAGUGAGGAAUAUUGGACAAUGGGCGCAAGCCUGAUCUAGCCAUGCCGCGUGCAGGAUGACGGUCCUAUGGAUUGUAAACUGCUUUUGUACAGGAAGAAACACUCCCUCGUGAGGGAGCUUGACGGUACUGUAAGAAUAAGGAUCGGCUAACUCCGUG